AGUGAACGCUGGCGGUAGGCCUAACACAUGCAAGUCGAACGGCAGCACAGUAAGAGCUUGCUCUUACGGGUGGCGAGUGGCGGACGGGUGAGGAAUACAUCGGAAUCUACUUUUUCGUGGGGGAUAACGUAGGGAAACUUACGCUAAUACCGCAUACGACCUACGGGUGAAAGCAGGGGAUCUUCGGACCUUGCGCGAUUGAAUGAGCCGAUGUCGGAUUAGCUAGUUGGCGGGGUAAAGGCCCACCAAGGCGACGAUCCGUAGCUGGUCUGAGAGGAUGAUCAGCCACACUAGAACUGAGACACGGUCCAGACUCCUACGGGAGGCAGCAGUGGGGAAUAUUGGACAAUGGGCGCAAGCCUGAUCCAGCCAUACCGCAUGGGUGAAGAAGGCCUUCGGGUUGUAAAGCCCUUUUGUUGGGAAAGAAAAGCAGCAGGUUAAUACCCCGCUGUUCUGACGGUACCCAAAGAAUAAGCACCGGCUAACUUCGUG
Molecule: ribosomal RNA, 492 nt
Filed under: uncultured bacterium
Lineage: Bacteria
Description: partial 16S ribosomal RNA
Rfam family: Bacterial small subunit ribosomal RNA
Source: RNAcentral